UACGUAGGGGGCAAGCGUUAUCCGGAUUUACUGGGUGUAAAGGGAGCGUAGGUGGCGAUGCAAGUCCGAUGUGAAAGCCCGGGGCUCAACCCCGGGACUGCAUUAGAAACUGUGUUGCUUGAGUGCAGGAGAGGUAAGUGGAAUUCCUAGUGUAGCGGUGAAAUGCGUAGAUAUUAGGAGGAACACCAGUGGCGAAGGCGGCUUACUGGACUGUAACUGACACUGAGGCUCGAAAGCGUGGGGAGCAAACAGG
Molecule: ribosomal RNA, 253 nt
Filed under: uncultured bacterium
Lineage: Bacteria
Description: partial 16S ribosomal RNA
Rfam family: Bacterial small subunit ribosomal RNA
Source: RNAcentral